This 1474-nucleotide ribosomal RNA is filed under the name metagenome. RNAcentral's name for it is "bacterial SSU rRNA". It matches the Rfam family "Bacterial small subunit ribosomal RNA". The record is from RNAcentral.
AGAGUUUGAUCCUGGCUCAGGACGAACGCUGGCGGCGUGCCUAACACAUGCAAGUCGAACGGACGAGGCCCCUUCGGGGACCGAGUUAGUGGCGGACGGGUGAGUAACGCGUGAGCAACCUGCCUUUCAGAGGGGGACAACAGUUGGAAACGACUGCUAAUACCGCAUGAUGCAGCGAGAUCGCAUGGUCUUGCUGUCAAAGAUUUAUCGCUGAAAGAUGGGCUCGCGUCUGAUUAGCUAGUUGGAGGGGUAACGGCCCACCAAGGCGACGAUCAGUAGCCGGACUGAGAGGUUGAACGGCCACAUUGGGACUGAGAUACGGCCCAGACUCCUACGGGAGGCAGCAGUGGGGAAUAUUGGGCAAUGGGGGAAACCCUGACCCAGCAACGCCGCGUGAAGGAAAAAGGCUUUCGGGUUGUAAACUUCUUUUACCAGGGACGAAGAACGUGACGGUACCUGGAGAAAAAGCCACGGCUAACUACGUGCCAGCAGCCGCGGUAAUACGUAGGUGGCAAGCGUUGUCCGGAUUUACUGGGUGUAAAGGGCGUGUAGGCGGAGCUGCAAGUCAGAUGUGAAAUCUGGGGGCUUAACCCUCAAACUGCAUUUGAAACUGUAGCCCUUGAGUAUCGGAGAGGCAGGCGGAAUUCCUAGUGUAGCGGUGAAAUGCGUAGAUAUUAGGAAGAACACCAGUGGCGAAGGCGGCCUGCUGGACGACAACUGACGCUGAGGCGCGAAAGCGUGGGGAGCAAACAGGAUUAGAUACCCUGGUAGUCCACGCUGUAAACGAUGAAUACUAGGUGUGGGGGGACUGACCCCCUCCGUGCCGGAGUUAACACAAUAAGUAUUCCACCUGGGGAGUACGACCGCAAGGUUGAAACUCAAAGGAAUUGACGGGGGCCCGCACAAGCAGUGGAUUAUGUGGUUUAAUUCGACGCAACGCGAAGAACCUUACCGGGAUUUGACAUCCUACUAACGAAGCAGAGAUGCAUUAGGUGCCCUUCGGGGAAAGUAGAGACAGGUGGUGCAUGGUUGUCGUCAGCUCGUGUCGUGAGAUGUUGGGUUAAGUCCCGCAACGAGCGCAACCCCUAUUGUUAGUUGCUACGCAAGAGCACUCUAGCGAGACUGCCGUUGACAAAACGGAGGAAGGCGGGGACGACGUCAAAUCAUCGUGCCCCUUAUGUCCCGGGCUACACACGUAAUACAAUGGCGGUCAACAAAGGGAAGCAAAGCCGCGAGGCAGAGCAAACCCCCAAAAGCCGUCUCAGUUCGGAUUGCAGGCUGCAACUCGCCUGCAUGAAGCUGGAAUUGCUAGUAAUCGUGGAUCAGAAUGCCACGGUGAAUACGUUCCCGGGCCUUGUACACACCGCCCGUCACACCAUGAGAGUCGGGAACACCCGAAGUCCGUAGUCUAACCCGCAAGGGAGGGCGCGGCCGAAGGUGGGUCUGAUAAUUGGGGUGAAGUCGUAACAAGGUA